CCUACGGGAGGCAGCAGUGGGGGAUAUUGCACAAUGGGGGGAACCCUGAUGCAGCGACGCCGCGUGGGUGAAGAAGCGCCUCGGCGCGUAAAGCCCUGUCAGCAGGGAAGAAAAUGACGGUACCUGAAGAAGAAGCCCCGGCUAACUACGUGCCAGCAGCCGCGGUAAUACGUAGGGGGCAAGCGUUAUCCGGAUUUACUGGGUGUAAAGGGGGCGCAGACGGCGAUGCAAGCCAGGAGUGAAAGCCCGGGGCCCAACCCCGGGACUGCUCUUGGAACUGCGUGGCUGGAGUGCAGGAGGGGCAGGCGGAAUUACUGGUGUAGCGGUGAAAUGCGUAGAUAUCAGGCAGAACUCCGAUUGCGAAGGCAGCUUACUAAACUAUAACUGACACUGAAGCACGAAAGCGUGGGGAUCAAACAGGAUUAGAUACCCGGGUAGUC
Molecule: ribosomal RNA, 440 nt
Filed under: uncultured bacterium
Lineage: Bacteria
Description: partial 16S ribosomal RNA
Rfam family: Bacterial small subunit ribosomal RNA
Source: RNAcentral